RNA transcript from Prinia subflava (tawny-flanked prinia), 2024 nucleotides. It is a transcript of the gene named TELO2-interacting protein 2-like, with no coding region annotated. NCBI's taxonomy places the organism in Eukaryota, Metazoa, Chordata, Aves, Passeriformes, Cisticolidae. The record is from RefSeq and is a predicted model, not a curated record. The transcript has 7 exons.
GGCAACCGGGAGGAUUUGCGACAGCGCGUGGUGCGGGUGACGGGACCGGGGGAGCGCGGGGGUCCCUGAGGGGGACCCGAGGGUCUUUGAGGUGUCCCGGUGGCGCUCCGGGGUCCCUGAGAGGGUCCCGGGUGUCCCUGAGGGGGUCCCGGGGGAGCGCGGGGGUCCCUGAGAGGUCCCGGGGGUCCCUGAGGGGGUCCCGGGUGUGCUCCGGGGUCCCUGCGGGGGUCCCUGCGGUGUCCCGGGGCUGCCCGGCGCUCCCCGCUGCCCGCAGGGCGCUGCUGCCCCCGGCCAUGUGUCGGUAGCGCGGUUCUGGCGGAGCUCCCUUUCCAUGGAGGGCAGCGGCCCCAGCCCGGAGCCCUGGGCCGGGCGGGCGCUGCCGGAGCCCGCGGCGCUGGCGGCGCUGCUGGACGCGGCCGAUCCGCGCUGCCCGCCCGGGCCCGCGGCGCUGGCGGAGCUGGCGGCGGCUCUGGGCGCCUCGGCGGCCCCGCCGCGCCGGGAGCGGGACGGAGCCGAGCCCCGCGGGCAGGACGCGGCGGGGGCAGCCGCGGCGGAGCGGGCGGAGCGCGCUGGGUCCCUGUUCCUGCUGCUGCUGCAGAAGCUGGAGGCUGCCCGGGGCUGCCCCGUGCCCCGCACCGUGCUGGGACACGCGUUCAUCUUCGCCGUCACGCACAAGGACGAGCGGCCCUGGAGCACGGCGAGGAGCCGGGCAGUGGCCCGGGAGCUGCUGGAGCGCCUGGUCCGGGCUGCGGGCUGCGCGUCCGUGGAGGAGUUCCUGCAGGGAAAGGACGAGGAUGAGCAAGGAGGAUUCGGAGCGGUGAUGGGGCUGCUGAAGCAGGAGUUAACCAAGGACACCUGGAAGUGCAAUCCCGCCUCCAAAGUCGUGUUCAGCUGGGCGCUGCUGCGUGUCCGCCGGCCCUGGCUGUGCCCGCACCUGGAGCGGGUCCUGCCGCCCGCGCUGCUCCUCUCCGACGACUUCCAGGAGGAGAACAAAGUGCUGGGCGUGCGCUGCCUGCACCACAUCGUCCUCAACGUGCCAGGGGCGGAUCUGUGCCAGUUCAACAGGGCCCAGGUGGUGUUCCACGCCCUCUACAACCACCUCUACUCCCGGGAGGCUCCUCUCAUCCAGGCAGUGCUGCUGUGCCUGCUGGACCUGCUGCCCGUCAUGGAGCGAUGCCAGCGGCACCAGGGCCACGGCAGAGCCACGGGCCCCUGGGACCAGGUGCUGCAGCUGGUGCUGACCCACAUGGAGGCCGAGCAUCGGCUGGCACUGCGCAGGGUGUACGCAGGGACCCUGCCAGCCUUCGUCACCAGGCUCGGCAUCCUCAUCGUGAGGCACCUGAAGAGGCUGGAGCGAGUCAUCCUGGGCUACCUGGAGGUCUCUGAUGGCCCCGAGGAGGAGGCCAGGCUGGGAAUCCUGGAGACUCUGCAGCGCACCAUAGAGCACGCCUGGCCCAGGAUGCCCUGCAGGCUGCCCGUGCUGCUGCAGGCGCUGCUGAGGCUGAUCUGGGACGUGCACACGGAGCGGGGCCCGACCCCCGAGCCCGUCAGAGCCGCGCUGCUGCAGGGAGCCACGCAGAGCCUGAUCCUGCUGGACCGCUGCUGCCACGGGCAGGUAAAGGUGAGCCAGGGCAGGUAAAGGUGAGACAGGGCAGGUAAAGGUGAGCCAGGGCUCCCUGCUGCUGCCACGGCCACGUCAAGGUGAGCCAGGGCAGGUAAAGGUGAGACAGGGAUGGGUGAAGGGGAGCCAGGGCUCCCUGCCAGGGCCAGGUCAAGGUGAGGCAAGACCGGGUGAAGGUGAGAUAGCGAUGGGCGAAGGAGAGCCGAGGCCAGGCAAAGGUGAGCCAGGGCUCCCUGCUGCCUACCAGCACCCUCCUCCCUCUCAGUCCAGCAGGAAUUUGAAUUUCCCCCCUCCCCAGCACCAGCAAUAAGUGACUCCAUAGCUGUGGAGGGGGCUCAGCCCGGGCUCUGCUCUGCAGAGGGCAGGGGACACCAGGGCUGCGUGCAGGGCACUGGGGACGUGC